CAGGUUGCUGCAACAUCUGCACUAGCAUCUUCGAUCCUAUGAGCUGUCAGCCAUACAGGGAAGCCUGUCUAUCCACCUGCAAUCUGACUUCAAUGAUACAAUCCCACUCUCUGCAUACAAGAUUGAUGGCUUGCUGCUGUUGACUCCCAAGAGGUUCAUACAAGUGAGACAAAAUUAAGACCACUCACUCUAUGUGAUGGCAGCUGAAGCCCCACAAAACAUGAUCCUUCGUGUCAUCGAGGCAGACCGUGUUAGAAAAUUAAAACUCAGCUCCCGUCCAGCCUCUGUUGAUGCAGUGAUUGAGAUUCAGUUUGCAAUACAAAAAUCCAGACUUUGAUGGAAAACUCACUUGCCUUGUUGACAUCGAGGAGUUACCACAAAAAGCCUGUGUUCAUAUUUCAGUUAGACAGGAUUCCAGUUCUCUUGCAUCAACUGAUACCCUUUCAGAUGUGUCAUCCCCAGAACAUCUGAGCAGAUGGCCUCCAGGUCCUUUACAAAUUCCCACAUUUGCAUUUGACGUUGAGCUGACACUUAGAGAUGGGAAUGCUGAAUUUGAAAAGAAUGAGAGACCUCUUCAGUUGUCAAGGGACCAAAAGCACAAUAUUUUAGACAAACUGGCAUCUACCAUAUAUGGUUUUAAGGCUUACCCCAGUGAUAAAGAGAUAGCAAUGGUGGCUGAAGCUCUUGUGAGGAAACACCCAUGUUUAAAAGAAGCAGGAUCUGACAAUGGAUGGGAUGGCUGGAAGAACAGCAUCAAGUUUAAAAUGGGCAAUUACAGGACCAAGAUGAGAAGGGCUGGAUGUCAGGAGGUCGCUGUAAAUGCUGGGAAAAGAAGCCGAAAAAACCCUGAGAAUGAACCUUCACACUCCAACAUCAAAAGGCCUAAGUGUGCAGAGGUCAACUUUCUGCCUAACUUUCCUCAAGGAGAGGAUCCCUCAAGCCUUGACCUUUUGAGGCAGGCUAUUGUCGAGGAAGUAAAGAAGACUGAGAGAAACCUACCCCUUAUUAGUAAGAUGAUGCAGAACACGUUUGCCUUGCGACGACAGACUAUUGUAAUGUCCUGCCCACCGGUGAAAGAGCUAAUGGACCUCUGGCCUGCUCUUCAUAUGCAGUCUGAGGUAUAUGUAGAGUUCCAACGGAUAACUAACCAGAACCUACCUAACACUUUCUAUGCCGAGCUUGAUCGCCACACUCCUCGUUUGAUGGCCUUAUUUAGACAGAAAGCUUCCAAAACUGAAAAGACUGCAGAUGCUUUGGCAAACAUUUUCAAAGUCCAUGAUACACAGGAAUUACAUGAUGUCCACACAAAGGCGUACCACUGUUCUCCAUGCCCUUCCUGAUUAUCUACUAGAGGAAGUCUCUGGAUUUUUCAGAACAUGUGUGGAUGAUAUGGAUGAGCCAGACCUGUGGGAUGCAUCAGUGGUCCUCCUUACAACAGUCAGUGAUGAUGCCACAAGCCCAGUUCACUACCACCCAGUGAGAGUCUCUGUCGUCCUAGAGGGUGAUGUGGUUGUCAAUCUCCCCAGGCUUGCUGAUGCCUUCCUGGUAAUGUUCGGCCUGAUUUAUGCACUACAUCUCAGCUAUCCCAAGGGACUGACAAACACUUUUGAGUUCACACAGAAAAUCUUGCUUGGUCUUGAUGACUCUAAACUGUCACCCAAGCUGCAGACUCUUAAAAAUGAGCUGAUGUUGUAUGUGUAACUGAAGAUCCAAAAAGGAGUGGUGGAUUCUGAUGGCUCACUCUGUUAGAGCAUAAUCCAUAAUGAGAAUAUGUCAUGUCAGGUCCAUGUUGAAUACUGUUCAACUGUUUAUGUUAAAGUUGCUGCUCUACUCAACUGGUUUUCAGCCAAAUGGCACAAAGUACACACUGUCUUUGUACAUUUUAAUGUACAUUUUAUUGUUGUUAAAACUGAAAUUCAGGGUUGAAUUAAGUGUUUAUAUAUGGAGGAUAUUUUUAUUCAUAAUUCAAAUUGAAAGGCCAAAGGGAAAACGAAGCGAGAUCAAAUUAAAAAUAUUAUUAUUAUACUACACUACUAGGAAAAAUCAUGCCAUAAUUAAAUUUAAAAUGUCAAAUUUAAAAUACAAAGCUUCAACUGUCAGCUGGAAGUCGUUUCAGACAAUCCCACCAGCCGUUGGGCCAUGCCUCCUCAUUUAAAUUGACACCUGUCACUUCUAAAUGAAAAGCUUAAAUCAAAAUGUAAAAGGUGAAUCUGAAAAUGUCAAUGUAAAAUGUAAAA
Long non-coding RNA from Coregonus clupeaformis (lake whitefish), 2237 nucleotides. RefSeq lists it as uncharacterized. The record is from RefSeq and is a predicted model, not a curated record. Lineage: Eukaryota; Metazoa; Chordata; Actinopteri; Salmoniformes; Salmonidae. The transcript is spliced from 6 exons.